Non-coding RNA from Phasianus colchicus (ring-necked pheasant), 1842 nucleotides. The record is from RefSeq and is a predicted model, not a curated record. NCBI's taxonomy places the organism in Eukaryota, Metazoa, Chordata, Aves, Galliformes, Phasianidae.
CCGCCAUCUUCGCCCUUUUUGCUGCGUUUCGGCAUCCCGCCCGCUUUUCCUCGUGAGUCCCAGCGCCGGAAGUGCCGUCGAGGAACGGAAGUGACGCGUGAAAAAACGAAACCGGAUGUGACGUCACGAAGCCGGGCCUUCCCAGGGGAGGGAAGCGAGAAACCGGAAGUGGGGCUAAAAACUACACCCCGUCCGCAGUGGGGCGGUGGGAAUGGACACCGGAAGUGACCCCACAGAUGACCGGAAAUGGAGGUAAAACGCGGAAGCCGCUGCGAAAAGCAAACAACCUGAUCCGCCAUGAGGAGCAAACCGGAAGUGACGCUGAGAUAACCGGAAGUGGGGCUGCAACGCCGGUGCGGAGCUGAAAACGACGAAUGCGGUGAACGACAAACCGGAAGUGGCGUUCAAACAGAACCGGAAAAGCGUCCAGAAAACCGGAAGCGAGCGAACGCGCGUGCGGAGAACACAACUAAAGGGCUGCGAGCACCGGAAGUGUUGAAGGCAAAGACCGGAAGUGCCACUGCGACGCACCGGAAGUCGUCUGCGGGCAAAAAGAGAGGGUGGAUGGAUGCGAGCGCAGAGCAACAAGAAGUGGACCAGCGGCAGACCGGAAGUGGCUGCGAGGAGAACCGGAAGUUGCCCCGAUGGAGAACGGGGAUUGGUGGAGGGGUGCGAGCGGUGGAGCGCACCGGAAGUGGUGCUGCCCAGCACCGGAAGUUGCUGUGAAAAACACCGGAAGUUGUCCCGCUGGGACGCAGGGAUUGGUAAGGGAAUGAAAGAGCGCGGCGGGGUAAACCGGAAGUGCUGGACAGAAAGGGCGGAAGUGGCUGCGAGCAGAACGGGAAGUGGUCCCCAUAGAACGCAGGGAUUCGUGCAGUAAUGAGCGGGCUGGAGCAUACCGGAAGUGGUGUUAAGAAAGGGCGGAAGUAGCCCUGAACAGCACCGGAAGUUGUUUCUUUGUAACUUUGGGAUUGGUCGAGAAACGGGCGGCACAGGCGACCACCGGAAGUGGGGGUAGGAAAGGGCGGAAGUGACUGAGAGAAGAACCACAAGUGUCCCAGAAACAACGCAGGAUUGGUGCAGGAAUGAGCAGGGUGGACCACACCGGAAGUGGCGUUAAGAAAGGGCGGAAGUGGCCCUGAGCAGCACCGGAAGUUCUAUCUUUGCAACUUUGGGAUCGGCGCUGAGCAGCAACGGAAGUUUUUUCGGUGCAACAUUGGGAUUGGUGGAGAAACGGGCGCCACACUCGGGCACCGGAAGUGGUGCUGCGAAAGGGCGGAAGUGUCUGCGAGCAGAACCAAAAGUAUCCCCGAAACAACGCAGGGUUUGGACGAGGAAGACGCCGGGCGGAGCAAACCGGAAGCGGGCUUAAGAGCGGGCGGAAGCGGCUGCGAGGAGAAGCGGAAGUCGCCCCUCGGCGGCUCUGAGAUCGGUCGAAACGCGCGCGCUUGUCGGCGGACCGCCGGAAGUGACCGGGCUGAGAAGCGGAAGAUCGAGGCGCCAUGCCGACGGUGUUGGGCCUGGAAGGUUCGGCCAAUAAAGUCGGAGCCGGGGUGGUUCGGGACGGCCAGGUGCUGAGCAACCAAAGGGCCACGUACGUCACACCGCCGGGACAAGGUUUCGCUCCCGGCCCCGUGAGCCGCCAUCACAGAGCGAAGCUGCUAGACUUGGUGGAGGCGGCGCUGAAGGAAGCGGGGCUGAGAGGCGGGGACGUCGAUGCGGUCGCGUUCACCAAAGGUUUGGGCCGCGCGGGGACCCGUAGCGACACAUAGGGAGCCAUAGGGACCCCAUAGGGACACAUAGGGACCCCAUAGGGACCCCAUAGAGACACAUAGGGACACA